This 490-nucleotide ribosomal RNA is filed under the name uncultured bacterium. RNAcentral's name for it is "bacterial SSU rRNA". It matches the Rfam family "Bacterial small subunit ribosomal RNA", at positions 28 to 507 of the family's 1533-position model. The record is from RNAcentral.
GAUGAACGCUAGCUACAGGCUUAACACAUGCAAGUCGAGGGGUAACGAGAGGAAAGCUUGCUUUCCUUGUCGACGACCGGCGCACGGGUGAGUAACGCGUAUCCAACCUGCCCACAACUAGGGAAUAACCUUGCGAAAGUAAGACUAAUGCCCUAUAAUUUCCUUUGACGGCAUCUGACGAGGAAUAAAGAUUUAUCGGUUAUGGAUGGGGAUGCGUCUGAUUAGCUUGUUGGCGGGGUAACGGCCCACCAAGGCAACGAUCAGUAGGGGUUCUGAGAGGAAGGUCCCCCACAUUGGAACUGAGACACGGUCCAAACUCCUACGGGAGGCAGCAGUGAGGAAUAUUGGUCAAUGGGCGAAAGCCUGAACCAGCCAAGUAGCGUGCAGGAUGACGGCCCUAUGGGUUGUAAACUGCUUUUAUACAGGGAUAAAGUUAGCCACGUGUGGUUAUUUGCAGGUACUGUAUGAAUAAGGACCGGCUAAUUCCGUG